ACCUCAAUACGUUCGUUUGUUGAAGAUUUGGACUGUACGAGUUUCAUUCCUCCUAUUGAAGCAAGAAUUCCUGCAUAUUUCUUAUUAAUUUUCAGGUAGGGUUUAUAAUUUUUUUUAUUGUGCGUGCGAUUUGAUGUAUAUUGUCAUUUUUUGUUGAUCUUCCAUGUGUUAUAUGCUUAUUUUAGUCAUCUUUUGUUGUUGUUACUCAAUCAUAUUAAAUAAAGUGUCACAAGUUAGGGUUUUUUUUAUUGUUGUUUGAAGUUGGAAUAUUUAGUUGAUUGUUAUUUCAAGUUGGAAUAUUUUGCUAGACAGACCACUUUAUAUGCUUUUUCCUUUUUUUUUUCCCCUUUUUUUUCCUUCUGUUUUUGCAUUGUGUAUAUGUGUUGGGUAAGGUUUAUUUAUGUACAGCUCAAUUUUUAUUUGUUUUUGGUACUUUAUUCAAUGUUUUUGUCUUUUUUAAGCAUGUGGUCCUUGUUCCCUUGUCCUUGUCUUCACAUGAAUAUUAAAUAUUGGUAGAUUACUUUUCCCUAUUAAAUUGUUGUGUAUGCAACUUUCUAUUUCCCUUUCUUUUAUGUUUUUAAUGGGUCCCUUUUCUUUUUUCUUGAUGUUUGUCAUGUGCCUGUCUUGCAGUAUGGUUGACAAGGUUGAUUUAGUGUUUAAUUAUGAGGGCAAGUGGGUCCUGAAUCCACAUGUUGUCUACAUAAAAAAAAAAAUCAUGUGUGGGAGGGAUAUGAUCCGGAUUUGCUUUCUUAUAUAGACAUAUGUAAAGAAUACACUGAAAAAUUAGGUUUUGGGGUGGUAAAACAGUUGCUGGUCACUGGCCCUUCUGAGAGAUAUUAUUUGGUUGAAAGUGAUACAGGCAUUGAGAUCACUUCAAUCUUCACUGUCUAGUCAGUUUUGUGUGCUGCAAUUCUUUGUUGUAGAUGAAAGUGAACAUAAUGUUUUAGUUCCCAACAUCAUUCAUCAUAAAGAAUCAUGCUUUGCAUUAGUAGAUGUAGGAUUUCCAUUAGUAGAUGUAGGAACUGAUUGUGAGUCAAGUUUGGAAGAGGAGGAUGAUAAUGAACCAGUUCUUAGUGACUAUGACAGUGAAGGAUUGGAAUUUUUUAAAAAGGAAAAGAAUAGGGAAGUGAAUGAAAACUAGACAAUUUUUUAAUGUUGGAAAAGGGUAUGAGCUUUAAGGAUCUUGUUGAAGCUAAAAGAGUUGUGAGCUGUUACUCAAUUUCUAAUAAGGUUGGACUUAGAGUUGAGAAGAGUGACACUACUAGAGUUAGAUAUAAGUGUGAUGUUGGCUGUCUUUCUAUGUGUUUGAUUUCUGUAGAUAACAAAGAUCAGGGAUUUAAGAUUAAGACUUUGGGAACAAAACAUACUUGUCAGCCAUCAUUUAAGAAUAGAAGAGCUACUCAACAAGCUUUAGCACACUACUUCAAGAACAAAGUGCAGAAUAAUCCCAAGUACAAGGUGAAAAAGAUGAGGCAUUUUAUGGAUGCUCAAUUUAAACUUAAUAUUAGUGCUUCAAAGAUUGGAGGGUUAAGAAGCUUGUUUUAGAGAAAUUGGAGGGUAGCUACAUUGAUGAUUUCAAUAGGUUGGAGGCUUAUGCUCAAGAAUUAAGGAUAGCAAUCCUGGUACUGAUGUGGUGAUAAACAUAUCUAAAGAGGCUCUUGAACAAGGUAAAAGAAGAUUUCUAAGAAUGUAUGUGUGAUUUCAAGCUUUGAAAAGUGGUUGGAAAUGAGUUUUGAGACCAUAUAUAGGGUUGGAUGGCACAUUUUUGAAAGGGAAGUGUAAAGGAAUUUUACCGGUUGCCCUUGGACAAGAUUCAAUAAAGCACUUCUAUCCUCUUGCUUGGAUAGUAGUGGAUAGAGAAACAUCUAGAACCUGGAAAUAGCUUAUUGAGUUGUUGAAAAUUUCCCUAGAGCUGAAGGAUGGUCAAGGAUUCACACUUAGGUCUGAUAUGGAAAAAGGUUUGAUUGAUGUUGUUACUCAUGUGCUUCCCAAAGCACACCACAGAUGGUGUGUAAGGCAUAUUGAAGCCAAUUGGAUGAAAUAUUGGAGGGGUGUAGAGAUGAAGAAGUUAUUGUGAUGGUCUGCUUAGAGCACCAAUAAAGUCUAUGAGUGUUGUGUCUGAACAAGCUAUCAAAGAUUUGCUAUGGUACCCCACCAGAACACUGGUGCAGGGCCUAAUUUGACACAGUUUGCAAGAACUUCUCAUGUGAAAACAAUUUUGUUGAGUCAUUCAACAAGUGGAUUCUGGAAGCAAGGACAAAAUCAAUAAUCAACAUGUUGGAAGAUAUUAGAAUUAAGGUUAUGAAUAGGCUGAAAAAUCUUGAAGUGGAGGGAAGAAAUUGGAGUUCUGAUUUCAGCUCAUAUGCUAUGGAAUUGUAUAAUGAUUUUAGAAUCAUUGCUCAAGGUUGUCAAGUUGAAGCUAAUAGAGACCUAGGGUAUGAAGUGUUGAAGGUGUAGAUAGGCAUGUUGUGGAUCUUGUUAGGAAGAGGUGUACAUGUAGGACAUGGGACUUAUCAUGAAUACCAUGUCCUCAUGCUAUUAAAGUCUUACUUCAUGACAAAAAAAGAACCAUUAGAUAAGUUGCAUUAGUGGUAUUCAAAAGAGGCUUACAUGUUAGUGUACAGGCAUAAGAUACAACCUGUUAGAGGUGACAAAUUCUUGAAAGUUCAUCCUUCUCAUGCUAUGGAGCUCCCAGUAGUACAUCAAAUGGUUGGUAGACCAAGGGUUAAGACAGUAAGGGAAAAAAAUGAGUCAAGGAAGAGGGAGGGGUUGUGGUCAGCUUCAAGAAAAGGUCUAAAAAUGACAUGUGGACACUGUGGUACUCCUGGUCACAAUAGAAGAAGUUGUCCUAUGCUUCAAGCAGCAGCAGAAAUAGUCCAUGAUGUGCCACUUUCAACACCCCAAGCCAGUCAAGAUUCUGAUUUUGUGUUCAUGGCUAAUCCUGGCUUUGCCUCUUCUAGCCAGCCAAUUUCUGAAGCUGUUUGAACUUCAAAAUCAAAGAGAAAAGCUAAGGACAAAGUUGUUGCACCUUCAAGUUCAAUUAACCAACCCUUUAUACCUUCAAAAUCUCUUGUUGAUGAAGAUGAUGAUGAAAGUGAACUUGAUGAUGAGGAUGACCAGCCAAUUCUAAGGCCUAGGGUGUUUUCUAAAGCUAAGGCUAGGCUUAAACUCAAGAAGUUGCAUCAACAACCAAAUGGUGCAAGGAAGAUUGGCUUCAAGGGAGAUGAGAAUGGUGUUAGUAUACCUACAAAUAUACCAUACUCACCAAGAAAGCUGGCUUGGAAAGGCCAACCAUGUGUGACCUCAAAUCAGUUGGCUGCUCAAAAGAAAAAAAAGAUUGGCAAAGAGGGGCAAGCAUUAGGGCAGAUUUGUAGUUAUUUAUUUUCUGUUUUUUCAAUAUUAUGUUGUCACACCCCAACGAGGGGCAUGGCGGGUUCCGACCCGUAGGCCGGGGACCACCUGCCUUAACAGUUACCUUGAACAUUAGAUACCAUAACUCAAAGAAUACCUGCACGCAGAAAGGGCCCAACAUAAAA
Long non-coding RNA from Lycium barbarum (goji berry), 3536 nucleotides. RefSeq lists it as uncharacterized. The record is from RefSeq and is a predicted model, not a curated record. The transcript is spliced from 4 exons. Lineage: Eukaryota; Viridiplantae; Streptophyta; Magnoliopsida; Solanales; Solanaceae.